UCACCUGUGAGCUCAGUUGGGAGAGCGUUAGACUGAAGAUCUAAAGGUCACCAGUUCGAUCCUGGUUGGGGGCA
Non-coding RNA from Caenorhabditis japonica, 74 nucleotides. Lineage: Eukaryota; Metazoa; Nematoda; Chromadorea; Rhabditida; Rhabditidae. The record is from Rfam.